RNAcentral lists this ribosomal RNA (586 nucleotides) under uncultured bacterium. Its description in RNAcentral is "bacterial SSU rRNA". It matches the Rfam family "Bacterial small subunit ribosomal RNA", at positions 338 to 916 of the family's 1533-position model. The record is from RNAcentral.
CCUACGGGAGGCAGCAGUGGGGAAUUUUGGACAAUGGGCGCAAGCCUGAUCCAGCCAUGCCGCGUGUGGGAAGAAGGCCUUCGGGUUGUAAACCACUUUUGUCAGGGAAGAAACGGCUUUUUCUAAUACAGAGAGCUAAUGACGGUACCUGAAGAAUAAGCACCGGCUAACUACGUGCCAGCAGCCGCGGUAAUACGUAGGGUGCAAGCGUUAAUCGGAAUUACUGGGCGUAAAGCGUGCGCAGGCGGCUUUGCAAGACAGAUGUGAAAUCCCCGGGCUCAACCUGGGAACUGCAUUUGUGACUGCAUGGCUAGAGUACGGUAGAGGGGGAUGGAAUUCCGCGUGUAGCAGUGAAAUGCGUAGAUAUGCGGAGGAACACCGAUGGCGAAGGCAAUCCCCUGGACCUGUACUGACGCUCAUGCACGAAAGCGUGGGGAGCAAACAGGAUUAGAUACCCUGGUAGUCCACGCCCUAAACGAUGUCAACUGGUUGUUGGACGGCUUGCUGUUCAGUAACGAAGCUAACGCGUGAAGUUGACCGCCUGGGGAGUACGGCCGCAAGGUUGAAACUUAAAUUGAAUUGACGG